CUUCAGAAGCGGACGUAAGGCGCAUUGAAGACCUUUCUGGCAUGGCUUGAUGAGCGGUGUGUAGGUCUGCACCCAGGAUCUGAACCUGCAAACCCUAGGCCACUGAAGCGGAGUGUGCAAACGUAGCACAAUGCCACUGGGCCCACCCCUCAGAUUAGCCCUGAGCUAACUGCCGCCAACUCUCCUCUUUUCGCUGAGGAACUGGUCCUGAGCUAACAUCUAUGCCCAUCUUCCUCUACUUUAUAUGUGGGAUGCCUACCAUAGCAUGGCGUGCCAAGUGGUGCCAUGUCCACACCUGGGAUCCGAACCCGCGAACCACGGGCUGCUGAGAAGCAGAACGUGUGAACUUAACCGCUGUGCCACCGGGUCGGCCCCUCCUGGGUUUGAUACUGUAUGCUGGUUAUCCAAGACAUAACCGUUGGGGGAAACUGGGACACUUGGUAGCAGUAAAAGGUUGCCCUGAACACUUGACAGAAAGUCAAAGGCAAGAGUAAUAGACAGAAAUACAAAACCUCGGGUCUUGGCUUUAUCACCUGGAGCUACAUAAUGCUGCCACCAAGCCUGCUGUUAGGGUUGUUCAAGUGCCAGCAUCAUUACAGGCCAGAAGACCCUGGAGCCCCUUCGCUGUUGGCCAUGUGACAGCCCCUCAGAUGGCAAAGGCAGACUUGUGGGCUGUCUACAGAUCCGGACACCUGGAGGCUCGGCUCUGUUCCAAGAGGUGAUUUAUGUAGGCAACACAACCCGAGGAGAGGAAAGCCUACGCGGCCCUUUAGACUUCACAUCUUCUUCUACGCCUGAUAGGACUUUCGCAUUUUACAACUGCAUAAUAAUUCUGUUAUUAGGAGGAAUGCCCCUUCAUGUGCCCCAAAUAAAAAAAGGAAAAGUUAAAACCAGAAGUCUUCCAAAACUUAACAUGUCGGUUUUCUCAGAUAGGAAAACCAGACAAGUUACCUCACAAGAAGCAUAGGCUGUGCCACAAACCUUGCUCUUAGUUUUCUUUCGGUCUGAGCGUCCUCAGAUGGGGGUAGGUGGAUGUCUCCAGUUCUACUGGGACUUUUGGAGAAAUUGAAGGAAGGGAACCUCAUUAGCAGAAGGACAAGGAACUAGUCCAGGCGAUAUCUGAAUAUUUAUUAUUUGACCUUAUCUUGAAUGGAAAGGAAAGGCUCUUUGUUCAAAAAACUUCUGACUGAUGCCUGUUCUUUGGACUUCCCUCAUUGCUUUAUAAAAAAAACCUAUUAAUUAACUUAGUGCCUGUUAGAAAGAAGUGAGCUUUCUCUGAACUCUCACAAUUGGUCAUUACUGCUGGUAAGAGAAGCAGCAUUAUGAUUUCCUUUUACAUAUGAAGAAAAUGACGUUCAGAUUAACUUUAUAAUCAUGCAAUAAAUAAUUUGGAGAUCUGGGACCCAAGCAAGCAAAGGGCUAUGGCAGGGAGACCUGGGCUUUUGUUCUGACUUUGCCUACAGCUCGAGGCCACCACUUUGGUCCUUAGUUUUCUUGCCUUAAAAUGGGUUCAGUGGAUUAGAUUGGGGUGGUAACCUUUUUCUGUAAAGGGCCAGAUGUAAACAUUUGUGGCUUUCUGGGCCAUCCAGUCUCUGCGGCAACUACUCAACUCUGCCACUGGAGAGUAAAAGCAGCCACAGACAACAUGUGAAACAAACGGGUGUGACAUUGUGCCAAUAAAACUUCAUUUGCAAAAAUAGGCAGCGGCAUGGAUUUGGUCCAUAGGCUGCAGUUUGCAGACCCCUGGACUAGAUGAUAUAGAAGUUUCUUCUACUGCUAAAAUUUUAUGAUUCAACUUGUUUUAAUGGCAAUGCUAUUUCCCUAGGAAAGUCAUCUUGAUUACACAAUCGUCUGCUGAUUAUACAGUUUAUGAGUACUUAAAUAUUUUUCUGAUGUUCAUUGUAGCAUGAUUCACAAUAGCCAAGGUAUGGAAACUACUUAAGUGUCAUCUGUUAAUGGAUGAAUAGAUAAAAAAGAGGUGGUGUAUAUAUACAAUGGAAUAUUAUUCAGCCAUGAGAAAGAAGGAAAUCCUGCUAUUUGUGACAACCUAGAUGGACCUUGAGGGCAGUAAGCUAAGUGAGCUAAGUCAGACAGAGAAAGACAAAUACUUACAUGUCGACCCUAAAAAAGCCAAACUCGUAGAAACAGAGAGUAAAAUAGUGGUUACUGUCAGGCUGGGGGGUGGAGAAUCGGGGAGAUGUUGAGCAAAGGGUACAAACUUGCAGUUGAAGAUGAGUAAGUUCUGGAGAUCUAACACACAGCAUAGUGAUUUAGCCAACACUAUUGUAUUAUAUACUUCAAAGCUGCUGAGAGACUAGAUCUUAAAUAUUCCCCUUACAAAAGAGAAAUGAUAAUUAUGUGAGUGCUAGAGGAUUUAGCUAAUGCUGUGGUGAUAAUCAUACUGCAAUAUACAAAAGUAUCAAAUCAAUACAUUGUACACCUUAAAUUUACACAAUGCUGUAUGUCAAUUAUAUCCAAUAAAAAGUA
Equus asinus (donkey) is the source of this 2487-nucleotide long non-coding RNA. The record is from Ensembl. Lineage: Eukaryota; Metazoa; Chordata; Mammalia; Perissodactyla; Equidae.